AACGAACGCUGGCGGCGUGGAUUAGGCAUGCAAGUCGAACGAUCCCGCAAGGGAUAGUGGCGAAAGGGUGCGUAACACGUGGGCAAUCUGCCCCCGAAACGGGAAUAACUUCGGGAAACCGAAGCUAAUACCUGAUGACACCGAGCUGCCGCAUGGUGGCACGGUGAAAGGCGUCCGCAAGGGUGCCGAUCGGGGAUGAGCCCGCGGCCUAUCAGCUAGUUGGUGAGGUAACGGCCCACCAAGGCGAUGACGGGUAGCCGGCCUGAGAGGGUGGUCGGCCACAUUGGGACUGAGACACUGCCCAGACUCCUACGGGAGGCUGCAGUCGAGGAUCUUCCGCAAUGGGGGAAACCCUGACGGAGCGACGCCGCGUGGAGGAUGAAGGCCUUCGGGUCGUAAACUCCUGUCAGUCUGGAAGAAAAUCUGCAGCAAUGUGGAUUGGCCGUACAGGCAGAGGAAGCUCCGGCUAACUCCGUGCCAGCAGCCGCGGUAAACUGU
This 498-nucleotide ribosomal RNA is filed under the name uncultured bacterium. RNAcentral's name for it is "bacterial SSU rRNA". It matches the Rfam family "Bacterial small subunit ribosomal RNA", at positions 29 to 528 of the family's 1533-position model. The record is from RNAcentral.